AGAGUUUGAUCAUGGCUCAGGAUGAACGCUAGCGGCAGGCUUAACACAUGCAAGUCGAACGGUAACAGGAAUUAGCUUGCUAAUUUGCUGACGAGUGGCGCACGGGUGCGUAACGCGUAUACAAUCUACCUUUUACAGUGGGAUAGCCCAGAGAAAUUUGGAUUAAUACCGCAUAGUAUUAUUAGUUGGCAUCGACUGAUAAUUAAAGUUUCGGCGGUAAAAGAUGAGUAUGCGUUCUAUUAGCUAGAUGGUAAGGUAACGGCUUACCAUGGCAACGAUAGAUAGGGGCCCUGAGAGGGGGAUCCCCCACACUGGUACUGAGACACGGACCAGACUCCUACGGGAGGCAGCAGUGAGGAAUAUUGGACAAUGGGCGCAAGCCUGAUCCAGCCAUGCCGCGUGCAGGAAGACUGCCCUAUGGGUUGUAAACUGCUUUUAUACAGGAAGAAACACCCCGACGUGUCGGGACUUGACGGUACUGUAAGAAUAAGGAUCGGCUAACUCCGUGCCAGCAGCCGCGGUAAUACGGAGGAUCCAAGCGUUAUCCGGAAUCAUUGGGUUUAAAGGGUCCGUAGGUGGAUAAUUAAGUCAGGGGUGAAAGUCUGCAGCUCAACUGUAGAAUUGCCUUUGAUACUGGUUAUCUUGAGUUAUUAUGAAGUAGUUAGAAUAUGUAGUGUAGCGGUGAAAUGCAUAGAUAUUACAUAGAAUACCAAUUGCGAAGGCAGAUUACUAAUAAUAUACUGACACUGAUGGACGAAAGCGUGGGGAGCGAACAGGAUUAGAUACCCUAGUAGUCC
Molecule: ribosomal RNA, 797 nt
Filed under: uncultured bacterium
Lineage: Bacteria
Description: bacterial SSU rRNA
Rfam family: Bacterial small subunit ribosomal RNA
Source: RNAcentral